RNAcentral lists this ribosomal RNA (494 nucleotides) under uncultured bacterium. Its description in RNAcentral is "partial 16S ribosomal RNA". It matches the Rfam family "Bacterial small subunit ribosomal RNA", at positions 30 to 507 of the family's 1533-position model. The record is from RNAcentral.
AUUGAACGCUGGCGGCAUGCUUUACACAUGCAAGUCGAACGGCAGCGGGGAGGAGCUUGCUUCUCUGCCGGCGGGUGGCGAACGGGUGAGUAAUACAUCGGAACGUGUCGAGAAGAGGGGGAUAACCACCCGAAAGGGUGGCUAAUACCGCAUAAAUUCUGAGGAAGAAAGCUGGGGACCUAGGAAUAGGCCUAGCGCUUUUUGAGCGGCCGAUGUCGGAUUAGCUAGUUGGUGAGGUAAAGGCUCACCAAGGCGAAGAUCUGUAGCGGGUCUGAGAGGAUGAUCCGCCACACUGGGACUGAGACACGGCCCAGACUCCUACGGGAGGCAGCAGUGGGGAAUUUUGGACAAUGGGGGCAACCCUGAUCCAGCCAUGCCGCGUGUAUGAAGAAGGCCUUAGGGUUGUAAAGUACUUUUGUUAGGGAAGAAAAGUCAGCUGUGAAUAAUGGCUGAUACUGACGGUACCUAAAGAAUAAGCACCGGCUAACUACGUG